GCGGAGUCGGGCUCGGCCACCCUGACGCGGUGGCUGGGCGAGGGGCCCAGCAGGCUGCCCGCCUUCGCCAGCCACCAGCUGGGAGUCGCAGCCAUUCCAAUUGAGGAAAAAGUCUGUGCACGGGGCAGACGGAAGCGGCAGUGAUUGCUAAGGAGCUAGCGCAGCUGUUGGCUACAAGUGUCACAGUCCAGAAGCUGCUCUGACAUGUCUGUGUAACAGGGCUAUGUCCCAAGCACCUGGACAAUACCUAGGCCCAUCUAGACCUCCCCCCAACCACUGCUGGAAAGGUUGCUCUAAAAAGGAAGGAAACUCAGGACCAAGAAGACGGUGUCCCAUUUCUUACACAUCACAGUGCAAGGAAGUAAUGGUGAGCCAAAACCACAGUCAGCUUGAACUCAGCCUCAUCAAAUGUGCAUGUGUCUGCCUUCCUUCUCAGCAGUCAUCCACAGACACACAGCUACAAGAAAUCAGCAAUUUCUUGUAGGCUGGUGAUGAUGGCUCAGGCCGUGCCAGCCCGGUUCAGGUUGUGCACAUCUCCCCCUGAAUGUCGUCACUUUUUCAGUCUUGGCUGCGAGGGGCCGAGUGACCCUUCUUGCUGUGACAGGAGCUGGGCUGUUGGCAGCAGGCCAGGUUGAAAGUGAGCAUUCGAAAAGCAAUGGCUUCAAUUACCAAACGGUGCUGUGGUCAGUGUGAGCUUGCAGCUAGAAAGCCAGCAGAGGGCAGCGUGGAAGCUGAAGGCAGGCUGAGUUUUUCAAUGGGCAUGUUAGAGCAUGUUUUCCUGGUGGACGAAAAUCUCACCAUUAAAAUAUGUGGCAUUAAACUCGAGUUAAGAUAAUGCAUUCUCAAAAAAAAAAAAAAAAAGAAAAGCACCGCAUUAGCACUUUUAUUUCUCGCAUUUUUGAGGAAAUAUGACUAACUGAAAGGGGAUUUUUCUGCAGUAGGUUGUGCACAGCUGAAAGUGCUGCCUAAAAGAAAAUCAUGCAGUGGGAGUGUUGUGGGUGGGUUGUCAGGAAAGGCUCGCUGUAAGAAAAAUCGAUCUGGAAAAAUUAUAGCAGGAAAACCUGCACUUUCAAAAUAUCAUUUGCUAUUGUGUUUUUGAUCACUUCAGUUACAUUCUGUGAAAAUAGAAAAUGAAAUCUCUGAGAAAAGAAGCAGUUUAAUAAAUGGGAAGAUAUGGAUUUCAUA
Lagopus leucura (white-tailed ptarmigan) is the source of this 1185-nucleotide long non-coding RNA. RefSeq lists it as uncharacterized. The transcript is spliced from 2 exons. The record is from RefSeq and is a predicted model, not a curated record. NCBI's taxonomy places the organism in Eukaryota, Metazoa, Chordata, Aves, Galliformes, Phasianidae.